ACGGAAGGCAGCAGUGAGGAAUAUUGGUCAAUGGGCGCAAGCCUGAACCAGCCAAGUAGCGUGCAGGAUGACGGCCCUAUGGGUUGUAAACUGCUUUUGUCGGGGAAUAAAGUGACCCACGCGUGGGUUAUUGCAGGUACCCGGUGAAUAAGGACCGGCUAAUUCCGUGCCAGCAGCCGCGGUAAUACGGAAGGUCCGAGCGUUAUCCGGAUUUAUUGGGUUUAAAGGGAGCGUAGGUGGAAGUGUAAGUCAGCCGUCAAAUUGCGCAGCUCAACUGCGUCCAGCGGUUGAAACUGCACUUCUUGAGUGCACAAGAGGAAGGUGGAAUUCGUGGUGUAGCGGUGAAAUGCUUAGAUAUGACGAAGAACUCCGAUUGGGAAGCCAGCUUACUGUAGCGCCACUGACGCUGAUGCUCGAAAGCGUGGGUAUCGAACAGGAUUAGAUACCCUGGUA
Molecule: ribosomal RNA, 453 nt
Filed under: uncultured Prevotella sp.
Lineage: Bacteria; Pseudomonadati; Bacteroidota; Bacteroidia; Bacteroidales; Prevotellaceae
Description: partial 16S ribosomal RNA
Rfam family: Bacterial small subunit ribosomal RNA
Source: RNAcentral